GGAAUAUUGGACAAUGGGCGGAAGCCUGAUCCAGCCAUCCCGCGUGCAGGAUGACGGCCCUCUGGGUUGUAAACUGCUUUUAUAGAAGAAGAAACGUGACUGUUCACAGGCACCUGACGGUAUUUUAUGAAUAAGCACCGGCUAACUCCGUGCCAGCAGCCGCGGUAAUACGGAGGGUGCAAGCGUUAUCCGGAAUCACUGGGUUUAAAGGGUGCGUAGGCGGCUUGAUAAGUCAGGGGUGAAAGCUCACUGCUCAACAGUGGAAUUGCCUUUGAUACUGUCAGGCUAGAAUCGACACGAGGCAGGCGGAAUGUGACAUGUAGCGGUGAAAUGCAUAGAUAUGUCAUAGAACACCAAUUGCGAAGGCAGCUUGCCAGAGUCGUAUUGACGCUGAGGCACGAAAGCGUGGGGAGCGAAC
RNAcentral lists this ribosomal RNA (418 nucleotides) under uncultured bacterium. Its description in RNAcentral is "bacterial SSU rRNA". It matches the Rfam family "Bacterial small subunit ribosomal RNA", at positions 358 to 773 of the family's 1533-position model. The record is from RNAcentral.